GGGCAUCAUGUUUUAAAAAAAAACCCGCUAAGUCAAAAACCAAAACGGAGUUGACUUAGGCAAAAGUUAGGGCAUCCCGAUGGACCAUAAUUCAAAAUAAUUGGUCCAUGCAAAAAUAGGGAUUAAAAAGCAAAAAAAAAAGAAAAAACAGAAACAAGCUUGUAAGUGAAAGUAGGUGACUGCCACCUCAAGAAUCUCAUCGGUGCUUGAACCAUUACCUCCAUCAUCAUUACUAUCAAAACUCUCUUGCAGAUUGAAAGAAUCGGUGCUUGAACCAUUACCUCCAUCAUCAUUACUAUCAAAACUCUCUUGCAGAUUGAAAGCAUUUGUUGAGUUAAUUGAAUUUAGGAAUGGAGAACAUCAAGGAGAAUGGGUGGGAUAAAAUUA
RNAcentral lists this long non-coding RNA (387 nucleotides) under Lathyrus oleraceus (garden pea). Its description in RNAcentral is "Pisum sativum (pea) long non-coding RNA (PSAT_LNC036923)". Lineage: Eukaryota; Viridiplantae; Streptophyta; Magnoliopsida; Fabales; Fabaceae. The record is from RNAcentral.